This is a long non-coding RNA of Gavialis gangeticus (Gharial), 722 nucleotides long. RefSeq lists it as uncharacterized. The transcript has 2 exons. The record is from RefSeq and is a predicted model, not a curated record. Lineage: Eukaryota; Metazoa; Chordata; Crocodylia; Gavialidae.
AGGCCCUCAAUGACUUGCCAAAACUCAGUAAGCAGCCCUCCACCUGAAACUGCCUGCCCCUGCUGUAGUGGCUCCCAACAGCAGCUGUGUCCACUGUUAUCAGUUGUUUAACUGAUAUAAUUAGAGGAGCUUAAACAAAUAUUUUUUAAACAAUAUUUAUAUCCCUAGCUCACAGCUGGCUGGAGGAAGGAGGUGGGGCUGGGAUCAGAGGCUGUCACUGAUUUGGGUCGGCCAAGGAGGUGGGGCUGGCCUGGUCCUUGGGCAGUGCAAAGGAGCUCUGCCCAAGGCUAGAGCAGCAGCCCUGUGCAAUCUCACUGUACAAGUUAACCCUUGAUGGGAUCUGGCAUAAAUGUUCAACAAAGUGCUCUAACAGAAAGUGCUUAAGUCUAACACCUCAUCCAUCAAGGGUUAACUUAGAAUGCUUUAAAAAUGGUGAAUUGUGCUCUAAGAGCUGUGAACAUCUGUUCAGUUAUGGCUUUAGAGUGGUUUCUGCAUGAUUAAAGUGUGAUACUUGUAACAUCUGUAUCUUGCCUAUGUUUCUAACAAUUAGCUUUUAAACCUUUAAUGUUACUUUCUAUUUUCUUGCAAUAAGUUAAGUUCAGGUAUUUUUGCAAAAAACUCUCAGCAACUUUUCUCAAAAGAUACUUUAGGAAACAAAUUCUGCUCAAGGCUGUAACUUGCUUAACUGGUUUGAAAAUUCUAGGAAAAGAAAAAGUUUACUG